ACGCAGAAAACUAUAUAUAAUGUCAUUGUAUUAUAAAGUCUUAUAAGUUUCGACAAGCCCAUUACAACAUAACCCCUCAAUCUAUUCUCUCUUAUUUUCUCCGGUAUAAUAUUCAUGGUGCACUUUGUUUUUACAAAAUAUCUUAAUUUCCAAUAGUUUUUCCACAUUAAAUGUCGAUAAAUUGGUUUUGUUUUUUAGAUUCGGAGGGUGGCGAGGGAUCUAUUGGUUUUACUAUGAUGUGUGUCUGUGAGCGAAUUUUAUACCAGUAAUCUUAUUCCGAAGUAUCAAGUGUAGCACCUAUUCUGAAUGGUAAUUCUAUUUAGUCGGUGCACCCGU
Molecule: non-coding RNA, 336 nt
Organism: Cinara cedri
Lineage: Eukaryota; Metazoa; Arthropoda; Insecta; Hemiptera; Aphididae
Source: the annotation of a GenBank genome assembly